Molecule: ribosomal RNA, 551 nt
Filed under: uncultured bacterium
Lineage: Bacteria
Description: bacterial SSU rRNA
Rfam family: Bacterial small subunit ribosomal RNA
Source: RNAcentral
AUUACUGGGCGUAAAGCGCACGCAGGCGGUCUGUCAAGUCGGAUGUGAAAUCCCCGGGCUCAACCUGGGAACUGCAUCCGAAACUGGCAGGCUAGAGUCUUGUAGAGGGGGGUAGAAUUCCAGGUGUAGCGGUGAAAUGCGUAGAGAUCUGGAGGAAUACCGGUGGCGAAGGCGGCCCCCUGGACAAAGACUGACGCUCAGGUGCGAAAGCGUGGGGAGCAAACAGGAUUAGAUACCCUGGUAGUCCACGCCGUAAACGAUGUCGACUUGGAGGUUGUGCCCUUGAGGCGUGGCUUCCGGAGCUAACGCGUUAAGUCGACCGCCUGGGGAGUACGGCCGCAAGGUUAAAACUCAAAUGAAUUGACGGGGGCCCGCACAAGCGGUGGAGCAUGUGGUUUAAUUCGAUGCAACGCGAAGAACCUUACCUACUCUUGACAUCCAGAGAACUUAGCAGAGAUGCUUUGGUGCCUUCGGGAACUCUGAGACAGGUGCUGCAUGGCUGUCGUCAGCUCGUGUUGUGAAAUGUUGGGUUAAGUCCCGCAACGAGCGCA